CCUACGGGAGGCUGCAGUGGGGAAUAUUGGACAAUGGGGGCAACCCUGAUCCAGCCAUGCCGCGUGUGUGAAGAAGGCCCUCGGGUUGUAAAGCACUUUCAGUGAGGAAGAACGCCUGGUGGUUAAUACCCAUCAGGAAAGACAUCACUCACAGAAGAAGCACCGGCUAACUCCGUGCCAGCAGCCGCGGUAAUACGGAGGGUGCGAGCGUUAAUCGGAAUUACUGGGCGUAAAGCGCGCGUAGGUGGCUUGAUAAGCCGGUUGUGAAAGCCCCGGGCUCAACCUGGGAACGGCAUCCGGAACUGUCAAGCUAGAGUGCAGGAGAGGAAGGUAGAAUUCCCGGUGUAGCGGUGAAAUGCGUAGAGAUCGGGAGGAAUACCAGUGGCGAAGGCGGCCUUCUGGACUGACACUGACACUGUGGUGCGAAAGCGUGGGUAGCAAACAGGAUUAGAUACCCUUGUAGUC
Molecule: ribosomal RNA, 465 nt
Filed under: Vreelandella stevensii
Lineage: Bacteria; Pseudomonadati; Pseudomonadota; Gammaproteobacteria; Oceanospirillales; Halomonadaceae
Description: partial 16S ribosomal RNA
Rfam family: Bacterial small subunit ribosomal RNA
Source: RNAcentral